CGCUGGUGACUGGAUACGUUUGAAGGAAGCAGACAAGAAACACUCUCCAGUGGGAAUUCUUCAUUCAAUCGAUCGUGUUGGCAAUGUAGCUGUUGCCUUUCUUGGUGUAGAAACUCUCUGGAAGGGUAACUCUUCCCAGUUUCAGAUGGCAGAAUCGUUUUGCGUUGGACAAUUUGUACGGAUAAAAGCCAGCAUUCUGAGACCACGAUUCGAAUGGCCUCGUAAAAAAGGAAAUGUUUGGGCUACAGGGAGGAUUUGGUGGAUCCUACCCAAUGGCUGCCUCAUGGUCAAG
This 292-nucleotide unclassified non-coding RNA is filed under the name Hevea brasiliensis (rubber tree). Lineage: Eukaryota; Viridiplantae; Streptophyta; Magnoliopsida; Malpighiales; Euphorbiaceae. The record is from RNAcentral.